GACGAACGCUGGCGGCGUGCCUAAUACAUGCAAGUAGAACGCUGAAGAGAGGAGCUUGCUCUUCUUGGAUGAGUUGCGAACGGGUGAGUAACGCGUAGGUAACCUGCCUUGUAGCGGGGGAUAACUAUUGGAAACGAUAGCUAAUACCGCAUAACAAUAGGUGACACAUGUCAUUUAUUUGAAAGGGGCAAUUGCUCCACUACAAGAUGGACCUGCGUUGUAUUAGCUAGUAGGUGAGGUAACGGCUCACCUAGGCGACGAUACAUAGCCGACCUGAGAGGGUGAUCGGCCACACUGGGACUGAGACACGGCCCAGACUCCUACGGGAGGCAGCAGUAGGGAAUCUUCGGCAAUGGGGGCAACCCUGACCGAGCAACGCCGCGUGAGUGAAGAAGGUUUUCGGAUCGUAAAGCUCUGUUGUAAGUCAAGAACGAGUGUGAGAGUGGAAAGUUCACACUGUGACGGUAGCUUACCAGAAAGGGACGGCUAACUACGUGCCAGCAGCCGCGGUAAUACGUAGGUCCCGAGCGUUGUCCGGAUUUAUUGGGCGUAAAGCGAGCGCAGGCGGUUUGAUAAGUCUGAAGUUAAGGCUGUGGCUCAACCAUAGUUCGCUUUGGAAACUGUCAAACUUGAGUGCAGAAGGGGAGAGUGGAAUUCCAUGUGUAGCGGUGAAAUGCGUAGAUAUAUGGAGGAACACCGGUGGCGAAAGCGGCUCUCUGGUCUGUAACUGACGCUGAGGCUCGAAAGCGUGGGGAGCGAACAGGAUUAGAUACCCUGGUAGUCCACGCCGUAAACGAUGAGUGCUAGGUGUUGGAUCCUUUCCGGGAUUCAGUGCCGCAGCUAACGCAUUAAGCACUCCGCCUGGGGAGUACGACCGCAAGGUUGAAACUCAAAGGAAUUGACGGGGGCCCGCACAAGCGGUGGAGCAUGUGGUUUAAUUCGAAGCAACGCGAAGAACCUUACCAGGUCUUGACGCCCCGAUGUUAUUUCUAGAGAUAGAAAGUUACUUCGGUACAUCGGUGACAGGUGGUGCAUGGUUGUCGUCAGCUCGUGUCGUGAGAUGUUGGGUUAAGUCCCGCAACGAGCGCAACCCCUAUUGUUAGUUGCCAUCAUUCAGUUGGGCACUCUAGCGAGACUGCCGGUAAUAAACCGGAGGAAGGUGGGGAUGACGUCAAAUCAUCAUGCCCCUUAUGACCUGGGCUACACACGUGCUACAAUGGUUGGUACAACGAGUUGCGAGUCGGUGACGGCAAGCUAAUCUCUUAAAGCCAAUCUCAGUUCGGAUUGUAGGCUGCAACUCGCCUACAUGAAGUCGGAAUCGCUAGUAAUCGCGGAUCAGCACGCCGCGGUGAAUACGUUCCCGGGCCU
RNAcentral lists this ribosomal RNA (1368 nucleotides) under uncultured bacterium. RNAcentral's name for it is "bacterial SSU rRNA". It matches the Rfam family "Bacterial small subunit ribosomal RNA", at positions 28 to 1381 of the family's 1533-position model. The record is from RNAcentral.